UGGACACAGGGAGCCGUCCAUUCACAGGUUUUCUGCCACAGACAAAUGGGAUUCUCUGGUUUGCCCGUCUCCAGCCAAGAAAUGCGUGAAAUGGACUGGUCUGACACGGGGCUGGGAGGCUGUGUUGGCGGGAACAAGAAGCUGCCCGGCCGCCUUGCAGCCGGAACGGCAUUUCCAUUAGACCAUGCCUGGCCAGCCUCCUGGUGACAGCCCAGAGACGUGGGCGAGGCCACAGGGGUCUGUGCCACGGGGUUCACAGAAAUAAAAGGACCCCGUUCGCCAGACUUUGUUCAAAGAUCUCUGAAAACUCUGGUCUUUAGCCCAACACAACCUCCUGGUUUGACCCGCUGACGACUCAUUCGUGCCACUGUCCGCACCGGCACCCACAGGCCUGUGAGCAUUCCAGGCGGUUGAGCGGGACAGCACCAGCGCGUUGAAGAGCCUUUGCGCACUAGAGCGCAGGCUGGGUGCGCGGACCCCGUGGCGGGCCAUUCCAGGGCGACCUGGAGCACAGCGCCCGGCACGCACACCGCCAACAUUCACCGCUCAGUCCGCCAGGACGACGUGGUGCCAGCCACAGGCGAGGGGAGAGGCGGACAGGCUGAAGCGAGGGGCACUUACGGAGUGAUGAUGCGGGAACGGGCUGAACUGGUGAGGGGGGUACAGGCUGGAGAAGUAUCCGGAGUGGCUCUGCAGCAGGAGAGAAAGGGCCAGAGGAGGGGGAGGUCCUCGGGGCCCCGCGGCUGGAGGCAGCACAGAUAAUCCUGUUGAAAAGAUGCCAAGUGCGCUGAGGUUCAACCCCGGGAUCAGGUUGGCUUGUUGCUG
Long non-coding RNA from Myotis daubentonii (Daubenton's bat), 825 nucleotides. RefSeq lists it as uncharacterized. Lineage: Eukaryota; Metazoa; Chordata; Mammalia; Chiroptera; Vespertilionidae. The record is from RefSeq and is a predicted model, not a curated record.